AUACUGGUUGGCUAGAGUAUGGGAGAGGAUGGUAGAAUUCCAGGUGUAGCGGUGAAAUGCGUAGAGAUCUGGAGGAAUACCGAUGGCGAAGGCAGCCAUCUGGCCUAAUACUGACGCUGAGGUACGAAAGCAUGGGGAGCAAACAGGAUUAAAUACCCUGGUAGUCCAUGCCGUAAACGAUGUCUACUAGCCGUUGGGGCCCUUGAGGCUUUAGUGGCGCAGCUAACGCGAUAAGUAGACCGCCUGGGGAGUACGGUCGCAAGACUAAAACUCAAAUGAAUUGACGGGGGCCCGCACAAGCGGUGGAGCAUGUGGUUUAAUUCGAUGCAACGCGAAGAACCUUACCUGGCCUUGACAUACAGAGAACUUUCCAGAGAUGGAUUGGUGCCUUCGGGAACUCUGAUACAGGUGCUGCAUGGCUGUCGUCAGCUCGUGUCGUGAGAUGUUGGGUUAAGUCCCGCAACGAGCGCAACCCUUUUCCUUAUUUGCCAGCACUUCGGGUGGGAACUUUAAGGAUACUGCCAGUGACAAACUGNAGGAAGGCGGGGACGACGUCAAGUCAUCAUGGCCCUUACGGCCAGGGCUACACACGUGCUACAAUGGUCGGCACAAAGGGUUGCUACACAGCGAUGUGAUGCUAAUCUCA
RNAcentral lists this ribosomal RNA (646 nucleotides) under uncultured Acinetobacter sp. RNAcentral's name for it is "bacterial SSU rRNA". It matches the Rfam family "Bacterial small subunit ribosomal RNA", at positions 630 to 1276 of the family's 1533-position model. Lineage: Bacteria; Pseudomonadati; Pseudomonadota; Gammaproteobacteria; Moraxellales; Moraxellaceae. The record is from RNAcentral.